RNAcentral lists this ribosomal RNA (1479 nucleotides) under Salmonella enterica subsp. enterica serovar Adjame. RNAcentral's name for it is "partial 23S ribosomal RNA". It matches the Rfam family "Bacterial large subunit ribosomal RNA", at positions 681 to 2141 of the family's 2925-position model. The record is from RNAcentral. Lineage: Bacteria; Pseudomonadati; Pseudomonadota; Gammaproteobacteria; Enterobacterales; Enterobacteriaceae.
GUCUUAAUUGGGCGUUAAGUUGCAGGGUAUAGACCCGAAACCCGGUGAUCUAGCCAUGGGCAGGUUGAAGGUUGGGUAACACUAACUGGAGGACCGAACCGACUAAUGUUGAAAAAUUAGCGGAUGACCUGUGGCUGGGGGUGAAAGGCCAAUCAAACCGGGAGAUAGCUGGUUCUCCCCGAAAGCUAUUUAGGUAGCGCCUCGUGAAUUCAUCUCCGGGGGUAGAGCACUGUUUCGGCUAGGGGGCCAUCCCGGCUUACCAACCCGAUGCAAACUGCGAAUACCGGAGAAUGUUAUCACGGGAGACACACGGCGGGUGCUAACGUCCGUCGUGAAGAGGGAAACAACCCAGACCGCCAGCUAAGGUCCCAAAGUCAUGGUUAAGUGGGAAACGAUGUGGGAAGGCCCAGACAGCCAGGAUGUUGGCUUAGAAGCAGCCAUCAUUUAAAGAAAGCGUAAUAGCUCACUGGUCGAGUCGGCCUGCGCGGAAGAUGUAACGGGGCUAAACCAUGCACCGAAGCUGCGGCAGCGACACUGUGUGUUGUUGGGUAGGGGAGCGUUCUGUAAGCCUGCGAAGGUGGCCUGUGAGGGUUGCUGGAGGUAUCAGAAGUGCGAAUGCUGACAUAAGUAACGAUAAAGCGGGUGAAAAGCCCGCUCGCCGGAAGACCAAGGGUUCCUGUCCAACGUUAAUCGGGGCAGGGUGAGUCGACCCCUAAGGCGAGGCCGAAAGGCGUAGUCGAUGGGAAACGGGUUAAUAUUCCCGUACUUGGUGUUACUGCGAAGGGGGGACGGAGAAGGCUAUGUUGGCCGGGCGACGGUUGUCCCGGUUUAAGCGUGUAGGUGUGUGUUCCAGGUAAAUCCGGUUCACUUUAACACUGAGGCGUGACGACGAGGCACUACGGUGCUGAAGCAACAAAUGCCCUGCUUCCAGGAAAAGCCUCUAAGCAUCAGGUAACAUCAAAUCGUACCCCAAACCGACACAGGUGGUCAGGUAGAGAAUACCAAGGCGCUUGAGAGAACUCGGGUGAAGGAACUAGGCAAAAUGGUGCCGUAACUUCGGGAGAAGGCACGCUGACACGUAGGUGAAGUGAUUUACUCAUGGAGCUGAAGUCAGUCGAAGAUACCAGCUGGCUGCAACUGUUUAUUAAAAACACAGCACUGUGCAAACACGAAAGUGGACGUAUACGGUGUGACGCCUGCCCGGUGCCGGAAGGUUAAUUGAUGGGGUCAGCGCAAGCGAAGCUCCUGAUCGAAGCCCCGGUAAACGGCGGCCGUAACUAUAACGGUCCUAAGGUAGCGAAAUUCCUUGUCGGGUAAGUUCCGACCUGCACGAAUGGCGUAAUGAUGGCCAGGCUGUCUCCACCCGAGACUCAGUGAAAUUGAACUCGCUGUGAAGAUGCAGUGUACCCGCGGCAAGACGGAAAGACCCCGUGAACCUUUACUAUAGCUUGACACUGAACAUUGAGCCUUGAUGUGUAG